AUUAAAUAAAUAAAAUUCAAAUAAUGGAAAAUAGACUUCAAAUAUUUAAGCCUCUUUUAAAUUGUUUUAGACAUUCCUCCACAUUAAUCUUCAAAUGAUGUGAAGACCUAUUUAUAUACACAGACAGAAACACACGAGCACACAUGCCCAUGUGUCUGCAAGAGAUCACCCAAGUUGUAAGCGUCUCAUUGGGAUAGAAACACAGGCAACACAUCACUACAUGAGCAAAAACCAAACCAAUAAAAAAGAAACAUAACAGCAACAGGACAAAAAAGAAAUUCCAUCAAAGUAAAAAAUAGAUAACAGUAACACAAAAAACAUUAAAAAACGGAAAGGGAAAAAAAAGAAAAGUCAAACCAAUUGCAGCACUGAUACCCAAACACACAAGAAAAAAACAAUACUAAUAAUAACAUUACUAAUAAUAAUACAAAUCAGUUUGCAUGGAAUGCUUCAAAGCCAUCAACAAUCUGUGAGACUGGAAGCAGUGGUGAUUGUUGUAGAUCAACUGCAAACUGAAGUUGCCAUUUGGUCUACAAUAAAUAUAUAUAUAUAUAUAUAUAUAUAUAUAUACAUGUAUAUCCAUACAUUGUUUUUUUAAAAAUAUUUUUUUCCAAAAGAUACCUCCAGAUUCCCCUGUGUUGUAGACUCCAUGCAGGCAAGAGGAUGGACUUAAUAUUUUUUCCAGCAUAUUCUCCAGAAAAGAGAGACACAGAGAAAGAGAAGUCACAAUGACAGCUAUGGAUGGGUGCGUGGGACAUUAAGGACGGAACUGUUCUCACAAUGGAUUGACAUCACACACUUUCCAAAGUAAGUAAAAGCUGAGGCAAAGCAAAAUUGGUUUUUGUCACAACUUCGAUUGCACGCAUUGUGUUCAUUUUUCUCCAUACAAUCUCAUUCCAAGCUAAAGGGUGCCAUGCGUGCCGGCGAUCUCGAGGAGUGCGUGGCUGGGGCAUGGGCCGGGUUGCAGCCCAGUAUGGUGCACCGCCGCAAACCCAUUCUCACGUUACCGUAGUGUU
Molecule: long non-coding RNA, 1016 nt
Filed under: Physcomitrium patens
Lineage: Eukaryota; Viridiplantae; Streptophyta; Bryopsida; Funariales; Funariaceae
Description: long non-coding RNA (PPAT_LNC012685)
Source: RNAcentral